This 107-nucleotide small nucleolar RNA is filed under the name Sorghum bicolor (sorghum). Its description in RNAcentral is "Plant small nucleolar RNA R71". It matches the Rfam family "Plant small nucleolar RNA R71". Rfam says of the family: R71 is a member of the C/D box family of snoRNAs containing the C (UGAUGA) and D (CUGA) box motifs. The record is from Rfam by way of RNAcentral. Lineage: Eukaryota; Viridiplantae; Streptophyta; Magnoliopsida; Poales; Poaceae.
AUCCCAUGGUGAGGGCAUUCUGAUAUAUAAUCUUGAAAGCAUUCCUAUGCCUUAGGGACAGAUUUAUCAUACUGUUGCAGGAAAGUUGAGAUCUUUGCAUGUAGGGU